This 425-nucleotide ribosomal RNA is filed under the name Anophryoides haemophila. Its description in RNAcentral is "partial Bacterial large subunit ribosomal RNA". It matches the Rfam family "Bacterial large subunit ribosomal RNA", at positions 1653 to 2056 of the family's 2925-position model. The record is from RNAcentral. Lineage: Eukaryota; Ciliophora; Oligohymenophorea; Philasterida; Glauconematidae.
ACCGACACAGGUGAUCAGGUAGAGAAUACUAAGGCGAUCGAGAGAAUCAUGGUUAAGGAACUCGGCAAAAUGCCCCCGUAACUUCGGGAGAAGGGGGACCGCAUACUGUGACCAUCCUUUGCGGUUGGUAGCGGUGUGUGGUCGCAGAGAAUAGAGGGAAGCGACUGUUUAUCAAAAACACAGGUCCAUGCGAAGACGUUGAAGUUGAUGUAUAUGGACUGACGCCUGCCCGGUGCUGGAAGGUUAAGAGGACUCGUUAGACUUCGGUCGAAGCGGAGAAUUUAAGCCCCAGUAAACGGCGGUGGUAACUAUAACCAUCCUAAGGUAGCGAAAUUCCUUGUCGGGUAAGUUCCGACCUGCACGAAUGGAGUAACGAUAGCCCCACUGUCUCCUUCCGAGGCUCAGUGAAAUUGAAAUCGCUGUGA